UACGAAGGGGGCUAGCGUUGCUCGGAUUGACUGGGCGUAAAGGGCGCGUAGGCGGUUCGUACAGUCAGACGUGAAAUUCCUGGGCUCAACCUGGGGACUGCGCUUGAGACGUGUGGGCUUGAGUGGGGAAGAGGGUCGUGGAAUUCCCAGUGUAGAGGUGAAAUUCGUAGAUAUUGGGAAGAACACCGGUGGCGAAGGCGGCGACCUGGUCCUUGACUGACGCUGAGGCGCGAAAGCGUGGGGAGCAAACAGG
Molecule: ribosomal RNA, 253 nt
Filed under: uncultured bacterium
Lineage: Bacteria
Description: partial 16S ribosomal RNA
Rfam family: Bacterial small subunit ribosomal RNA
Source: RNAcentral